CUACGGAGGGGGCUAGCGUUGUUCGGAAUUACUGGGCGUAAAGCGCACGUAGGCGGCUUUGUAAGUCAGAGGUGAAAGCCUGGAGCUCAACUCCAGAACUGCCUUUGAGACUGCAUCGCUUGAAUCCAGGAGAGGUCAGUGGAAUUCCGAGUGUAGAGGUGAAAUUCGUAGAUAUUCGGAAGAACACCAGUGGCGAAGGCGGCUGACUGGACUGGUAUUGACGCUGAGGUGCGAAAGCGUGGGGAGCAAACAGGAUUAGAUACCCUAGUAGUCC
RNAcentral lists this ribosomal RNA (274 nucleotides) under uncultured bacterium. RNAcentral describes it as "partial 16S ribosomal RNA". It matches the Rfam family "Bacterial small subunit ribosomal RNA", at positions 523 to 796 of the family's 1533-position model. The record is from RNAcentral.